RNAcentral lists this ribosomal RNA (509 nucleotides) under uncultured bacterium. RNAcentral describes it as "bacterial SSU rRNA". It matches the Rfam family "Bacterial small subunit ribosomal RNA", at positions 28 to 504 of the family's 1533-position model. The record is from RNAcentral.
GACGAACGCUGGCGGCGUGCCUAAUACAUGCAAGUCGAGCGAGCGGAACCAACAGAUUUACUUCGGUAAUGACGUUGGGAAAGCGAGCGGCGGAUGGGUGAGUAACACGUGGGGAACCUGCCCCUAAGUCUGGGAUACCAUUUGGAAACAGGUGCUAAUACCGGAUAAUAAAGCAGAUCGCAUGAUCAGCUUUUGAAAGGCGGCGUAAGCUGUCGCUAAGGGAUGGCCCCGCGGUGCAUUAGCUAGUUGGUAAGGUAACGGCUUACCAAGGCGACGAUGCAUAGCCGAGUUGAGAGACUGAUCGGCCACAUUGGGACUGAGACACGGCCCAAACUCCUACGGGAGGCAGCAGUAGGGAAUCUUCCACAAUGGACGCAAGUCUGAUGGAGCAACGCCGCGUGAGUGAAGAAGGUUUUCGGAUCGUAAAGCUCUGUUGUUGGUGAAGAAGGAUAGAGGUAGUGACUGGCCUUUAUUUGACGGUAAUCAACCAGAAAGUCACGGCUAACUAC